This 234-nucleotide ribosomal RNA is filed under the name uncultured bacterium. RNAcentral describes it as "partial 16S ribosomal RNA". It matches the Rfam family "Bacterial small subunit ribosomal RNA", at positions 15 to 244 of the family's 1533-position model. The record is from RNAcentral.
GAUCAUGGCUCAGGACGAACGCUGGCGGCGCGCCUAACACAUGCAAGUCGAACGAGAGAGAGGGAGCUUGCUUCCUCAAUCGAGUGGCGAACGGGUGAGUAACGCGUGAGGAACCUGCCUCAAAGAGGGGGACAACAGUUGGAAACGACUGCUAAUACCGCAUAAGCCCACAGCUCGGCAUCGAGCAGAGGGAAAAGGAGCAAUCCGCUUUGAGAUGGCCUCGCGUCCGAUUAG